RNAcentral lists this transfer RNA (72 nucleotides) under Bacteroidales bacterium. RNAcentral's name for it is "tRNA-Thr". It matches the Rfam family "tRNA". Rfam says of the family: Transfer RNA (tRNA) molecules are approximately 80 nucleotides in length. Their secondary structure includes four short double-helical elements and three loops (D, anti-codon, and T loops). Further hydrogen bonds mediate the characteristic L-shaped molecular structure. tRNAs have two regions of fundamental functional importance: the anti-codon, which is responsible for specific mRNA codon recognition, and the 3' end, to which the tRNAs corresponding amino acid is attached (by aminoacyl-tRNA synthetases). tRNAs cope with the degeneracy of the genetic code in two manners: having more than one tRNA (with a specific anti-codon) for a particular amino acid; and 'wobble' base-pairing, i.e. permitting non-standard base-pairing at the 3rd anti-codon position. RNAcentral also lists the same sequence under 1 other name. The record is from RNAcentral. Lineage: Bacteria; Pseudomonadati; Bacteroidota; Bacteroidia; Bacteroidales.
GCCUUUUUAGCUCAGCGGUAGAGCACUUCACUCGUAAUGAAGGGGUCAACGGUUCAAAUCCGUUAAAAGGCU